This is a non-coding RNA of Callithrix jacchus (white-tufted-ear marmoset), 8849 nucleotides long. The record is from RefSeq and is a predicted model, not a curated record. NCBI's taxonomy places the organism in Eukaryota, Metazoa, Chordata, Mammalia, Primates, Cebidae.
AGAUGCUGUGGAGACAGGCAGGGGGCAAAGGUGUGAAUCUGUGAAGUGCAGCACUUCAGCUGGGAGAACCAGCAGCUAAGCUGGGACAGAACUAGGAUAGACAUUUACGUGGCAGGCACAUUUCACAGCAACACUCGCAUAACAGGACAGUAAUCUUAGCACGUUAGGACUUCCACUGCCUUCCACUGAGGCAGGCAUGUCUCAUUCCAGGUGAUUCAUCCUGUCAAGUUACUUCAUGUGCCAAUGAGUUUCUCCCCAUCUCUAAGUUGGAGAGUAUCACAUGCCAGCGAGUUGGAAGGUUGAUCAUUGAAAAUGAGGAAAUCCCUCACUGGAGCCUGAUAGUGGAGAUUCUUUUGUCCUUGGGAUGGAUGCUGCCACCUGCCAUGGAGGCAGUGACCACAGCAGCCUGUCCCUUCCACUGAGGCAGGUUUUACUGUCUUUGCUUACAGUGUGAAAACUAUAGAGAACUAUUGAACACUCUCCAAAUAUAUAUUGUCAACUACAUGGAGGCGUUGCUAUAAGAGAAGCUCAUGAAAACAGAGGAGCUCAGGUGAAUCAUCCUGUCAAGUUACUUGAUGUGCCAAUGAGUUUUUUUUUCCCGGUCUCUAAGUUGGAGAGUAUCAGAUGCCAGCGAGUUGUGAGGUUGAUCAUUAAAAAUGAAGAAAUCCCUCACUGGAGCCUGAUAGUGGAGAUGCUUUUGUCCUUGGGAUGGAUGCUGCCACCUGCCAUGUAGGCAGUGACCACAGCAGCCUGUCCCUUCCACUGAGUCUGGCCUUACUGUCUAUUCUUAGAGAGCGAAGACUAUAAAAAAAAAUUGAACACUCUGAAAAUUGAUAUUUUAAAUUACACGGAGGCGUUGCUGAAAGAGGACUUCAGGUGAGCAGAUGCUGUGCAGACAGGUGGGGGGCAAAGGUGUGAAUCUCUGAAGUGCAGAACUUCAGGUGGGAGAACCAGCAGCUAAACUGGGCCAGGACCAGGACAGACAUUUACAUGGCAGGCACAUUUCACAGCAACACUCAUAAAACAGGACAGUAAUCUUAGCACGUUAUGACUUCCACUGCCUUCCACUGAGGCAGGCAUGUCUCAUUCCAGGUGAAUCAUUCUGUCAAGUUACUUGAUGUGCCAAUGAGUUUCUUUCUCCCCAUCUCUAAGUUGGAGAGUAUCACAUGCCAGCGAGUUGGAAGGCUGAUCAUUGAAAAUAAGGAAAUCCCUCACUGGAACCUGAUAGUGUAGAUGCUUUCGUCCUUGAGAUGGAUGCUGCCACCUGCCAUGUAGGCAGUGACCACAACAGCCUGUGCAGCCUUCCACUGAGGCUGGCAUGACUUUCUAUUCUCAGACUCUGAUGAAUACCAACUAAACAUCAAGUCUUUGGAGAGAGACAUCUAUGAAAUCGGAGAGCAGACCAUUUAUGAGGAGUUCAAAAUAAUUGAGCUCAGGUGAGCAGAUGCUGUGGAGACAGGCGGGGGGCAAAUGUGUGAAUCUAUGAAGUGCAGCACUUCAGCUGGGAGAACCAGCAGCUAAGCUGGGACAGGACUAGGACAGACAUUUACGUGGCAGGCACGUUUCACAGUAACACUCACAUAACAGGACAGUAAUCUUAGCACGUUAUGACUUCCACUGCCUUCCACUGAGGCAGGCAUGUCUCAUUCCAGGUGAAUCAUCCUGUCAAGUUACUUGAUGUGCCAAUGAGUUUGUUUUUCCCCAUCUCUAAGUUGGAGAGUAUCACAUGCCAGCGAGUUGGGAGGUUGAUCAUUGAAAAUGAGGAAAUCCCUCACUGGAGUCUGAUAGUGGAGAUGCUUUUGUCCUUGGGAUGGAUGCUGCCACCUGCCAUGUAGCCAGUGACCACAGCAGCCUGUUUCUUCCACAGAGGCAGGUUUUACUGUCUUUUCUUAGAGUGUGAAAACUAUAGAGAACGAUUGAACACUCUCCAAAUAGAUAUUGUCAACUACACGGAAGCGUUGCUAUAAGAGGAGCUCAUGAAAAAAGAGGAGCUCAGGUGAAUCAUCCUGUCAAGUUACUUGAUGUGCCAAUGAGUUUCUUUUUCCCAAUCUCGAAGUUGGAGAGUAUCAGAUGCCAGCGAGUUGUGAGGUUGAUCAUUAAAAAUGAGGAAAUCGCUCACUGGAGCCUGAUAGUGGAGAUGCUUUUGUCCCUGGGAUGGAUGCUGCCAUGUAGGCAGUGACCACAGCAGCCUGUCCAGCUUCCACUGAGGCAGGCAUGACUUUCUUUACUCAGACUCUGAUGAAUACCAACUAAAUGUCAAGUCUCUGGAGAGAGACAUCUAUGAAAUCGAAAAGCAGACCAUUUAUGAGGAGUUCAAAAUAAUUGAGGAGCUCAGGUGAGCAGAUGCCGUGGAGACAGGCGGGGGGAAAAGGUGUGAAUCUAUGAAGUGCAGCACUUCAGCUGGGAGAACCAGCAGCUAAGCUGGGCCAGGACCAGGACAGACAUCUACGUGGCAGGCACAUUUCACAGCAACACUCAUAGAACAGGACAGUAAUCUUAGCAUGUUACAAUUUCCACUGCCUUCCACUGAGGCAGGCAUGUCUCAUUCCAAGUGAAUCAUCCUGUCAAGUUACUUGAUGUGCCAAUGUGUUUCUUUUUCCCCAUCUCUACAUCGGAGAGUAUCAGAUGCCAGCGAGGAGGUUCAUCAUUGAAAAUAAGGAAAUCCCUCACUGGAGCAUGAUAGUGGAGAUGCUUUCGUCCUUGGGAUGAAUGCUGCCACCUGCCAUGUAGGCAGUGACCACAACAGCCUGUGCAGCCUUCCACUGAGGCAGGCAUGACUUUCUUUUCUCAGACUCUGAUGAAUACCAACUAAACACCAAGUCUUUGGAGAGAGACAUCUAUGAAAUCGGAGAGCAGACCAUUUAUGAGGAGUUCAAAAUAAUUGAGGAGCUCAGGUGAGCAGACACUGUGGGGACAGGGGUGGUGCAGAGGUGUGAAUCUCUGAAGUCCAGCAUUCAGCUGGGAGAACCAACAGGUAAGCUGAACCAGGACCAGGACAGACAUGUACGUGGCAGGCACGUUUCACAGCAACACUCAUAAAACAGGACAGGAAUCUUAGCACGUUACGACUUCCACUGCCUUCCACUGAGGCAGGCAUGUCUCAUUCCAGGUGAAUCAUCCUGUCAAGUUACUUGAUGUGCCAAUGAGUUUCUUAUUCCUUAUCUCUAAUUUGGAGAGUAUCACAUGCCCGCAAGUUUGGAGGUUGAUCAUUGAAAAUGAGGAAAUCCCUCACUGGAGCCUGAUAGUGGAGAUGCUUUUGUCCUUGGGAUGGAUGCUGCCACCUGCCACGUAGGCAGUGACCACAGCAGCCUGUCUCUUCCACUGAGUCUGGCCUUACUGUCUAUUCUUAGAGUGUGAAGACUAUAAAAAAAGGUUGAACACUCUGAAAAUUGAUAUUUUAAAUUACACGGAUGCGUUUCUGGAAGAGGAGCUCAGGUGAAUCAUCCUGUCAAGUUACUUGAUGUGCCAAUGAGUUUUUUUUCCCCAUCUCUUAAGUUGGAGAGUAUCACAUGCCAGCGAGUUGGAAGGUUGAUUAUUGAAAAUGAGGAAAUCCCUCACUGGAGCCUGGUAGUGGAGAUGGUUUUUUGUUUGGGAUGGAUGCUGCCACCUGCCAUGUAGCCAGUGACCACAGCAGCCUGUCCCUUCCACUGAGGCUGGCCUUACUGUCUUUUCUUAGAAUGUGAAAACUAUAGAGAACGAUUGAACACUCUCCAAAUAGAUAUUGUCAACUACACGGAGGCGUUGCUAUAAGAGGAGCUCAGGAAAAAAGAGGAGCUCAGGUGAAUCAUCCUGUCAAGUUACCUGAUGUGCCAAUGAGUUUCUUUUUCCCAAUCUCGAAGUUGGAGUAUCAGAUGCCAGCGAGUUGGGAGGUUGAUCGUUAAAAAUGAGGAAAUUGCUCACUGGAGCCUGAUAAUGGAGAUGCUUUUGUCCCUGGGAUGGAUGCUGCCAUGUAGGCAGUGACCACAGCAGCCUGUCCAGCUUCCACUGAGGGAGGCAUGACUUUCUUUACUCAGACUCUGAUGAAUACCAACUAAAUGUCAAGUCUCUGGAGAGAGUCAUCUAAGAAAUCGAAAAGCAGACCAUUUAUGAGGAGUUCAAAAUAAUUGAGCUCAGGUGAGCAGAUGCCAUGGAGACAGUCGGGGGGCAAAAGUGUGAAUCUAUGAAGUGCAGCACUUCAGCUGGGAGAACCAGCAGCUAAGCUGGGCCAGGACCAGGACAGACAUCUACGUGGCAGGCACAUUUCACAGCAACACUCAUAAAACAGGACAGUAAUCUUAGCAUGUUACAAUUUCCACUGCCUUCCACUGAGGCAGGCAUGUCUCAUUCCAGGUGAAUCAUCCUGUCAAGUUACUUGAUGUGCCAAUGAGUUUCUUUUUUCCCAUCUCUAUGUUGGAGAGUAUCAGAUGCCAGCGAGUUGGGAGGUUCAUCAUUGAAAAUAAGGAAAUCCCUCACUGGAGCCUGAUAGUGGAGAUGCUUUCCUUCUUGGGAUGGAUGCUGCCACCUGCCAUGUAGGCAGUGACCACAACAGCCUGUGCAGCCUUCCACUGAGGCUGGCAUGACUUUCUUUUCUCAGACUGAUGAAUACCAACUAAACAUCAAGUCUUUGGAGAGAGACAUGUAUGAAAUCGGAGAGCAGAUCAUUUAUGAGGAGUUCAAAGUAAUUGAGCUCAGGGUGAAGACUAUAAAGAAAGGUUGAACACUCUGAAAAUUGAUAUUUUAAAUUACACGGAGGUGUUGCUGGAAGAGGAGCUCAUGCGAACUGAGGAACUCAGGUGGACAGAUGCUGUGAAGACAGGCGGGGGGCAAAGGUGUGAAUCUCUGAAGUGCAGCCCUUCAGCUGAGAGAACCAGCAGCUAAGCUGUGACAGGACUAGGACAGACAUUUACGUGGCAGGCACAUUUCACAGCAAUACUCACAUAACAGGACAGUAAUCUUAGCACAUUAGGACUUCCACUGCCUUCCACUGAGGCAGGCAUGUCUCAUUCCAGGUGAUUCAUCCUGUCUAGUUACUUGAUGUGCCAAUGAGUUUCUUUCUCCCCAUCUCUAAGUUGGAGAGUAUCACAUGCCAGCGAGUUGGAAGGUUGAUCAUUGAAAAUGAGGAAAUCCCUCACUGGAGCCUGAUAGUGGAGAUGCUUUUGUCCUUGGGAUGGAUGCUGCCACCUGCCAUGGAGGCAGUGACCACAGCAGCCUGUCCCUUCCACUGAGGCAGGUUUUACUGUCUUUGCUUACAGUGUGAAAACUAUAGAGAACUAUUGAACACUCUCCAAAUAGAUAUUGUCAACUACAUGGAGGCGUUGCUAUAAGAGGAGCUCAUGAAAACAGAGGAGCUCAGGUGAAUCAUUCUGUCAAGUUACUUGAUGUGCCAAUGAGUUUCUUUUUCCCCGUCUCUACAUUGGAGAGUAUCACAUGCCAGCGAGUUGGGAUGUUGAUCAUUAAAAAUGAGGAAAUCCCUCACUGGAGCCUGAUAAUGGAGAUGCUUUUGUCCUUGGGAUGGAUGCAGCCACCUGCCAUGUAGGCUGUGACCACAGCAGCCUGUCCCUUCCACUGAGGUAGGUUUUACUGUCUUUUUUUAGAAUGUCAAAACUAUAGACAAAGAUUGAAGACUCUCCAAAUAGAUACUGUCAACUACAAGGAGGCGUUGCUAGAAGAGGAGCUCAUGGGAACAGAGGAGCUCAGGUGAGCAGAUGCUGUGGAGACAGGCGGGGGGCAACGGUGUGAAUCUCUGAAGUGCAGCAGUUCAGCUGAGAGAACCAGCAGCUAAGCUGGGCCUGGACCAGGACAGACAUUUACGUGGCAGGCACAUUCCACAGCAGCAUUCAUAAAACAGAACAGUCAUCUUAGCACGUUACCAGCUGCAGUUGUUUUCUUGAGCUUUGUUUACACUUUUUAUAACAAUGAAAUGUUGAGUCAAAAUUUGCAUAUCCAAAAUUAACUAAAAGAAAGUGAACCACCCAGCAUCAUUUAGUACACUCUAUCCCAUGUACUCUUAGAGUCACCUCCUGGCUGACUGCAGCAACUCAUUUGUUCAUUCAAUAAUGUCUUCUUGACCUGUCAUUCUUUUCUUUUUUUAUUUUUACAAUUCACCCCAUCUGCACCAGGCCAAACUUUUGUGCAUGGCUCUGUUUCCAGUCACUGCUUGAUGCACUAUGGGAGUUUUCACAUAGAAAUGUCCACGGCUAAAGUGAGAAGCUGAAAGGACAUCCUUUUGAAACCGAUUUGGGAAGACUGACUUUCGUUUACAGAAGACAAAAAUGAAUGGAACAUCAUACAGGAUCUCACAGGAGCUCUCUCUGAUACAGAGGAAGCCUCCAUGGUUCAAGCAAUUCUCCUGUCUCCGCCUCCCGAGUAGCUGGGACUACAGGUGUGCACCACCAUGCCUGGCUAAUUUUUGUAUUUUUUGUAGAGACAGGGUUUCACCAUGUUGGCCAGGCUGGGUUUAAACACCUGAUCUCAGGUUCUGCCCGCCUCAGCAUCUCAACGUGCUCAGAUCAUAGGCAUGAGCCACCAUGCCCUGCUUUAAAAAAUAAAUGCAUAUUUAUUUAUUAUAUUGUAUAUACAUAAUAUGGCAGCCGUGCUCUGUUGCAGAGAGAGGAAAAUUGCCUGUUCCCUCUUAAACAGAACCUCCCCAUUUGCUUUCUGGGACCACAACCUAAUGGCUCCUGUGAAAACCAGUUGGAAUUUUCUGUGGUUCAAUCCCUUGUGGUUUAAUCUUUGUUAUCUCAAAAUAUAUAGAUAUAGAUGUAGAUAUGCUAUAGACACAUACACACACACACACACACAUUCCUCUGGACCACAGGCAUUUCCCCAAACAGGUUGUGAUGUUCUGCUUGGGGGGCUCCUUGAGGACAUUCUCACCUAAACCUCCGUUGCAGUAUUAGAACUGAUCACUCAUCCCUUUCCGUUAUUAAACAUUCUCUGCUAUGUCCCCAUAGGGAAUAUAAAGCCCUGACUCAAUCUCAGGCAGAGCAGCUGGCAAAGUUACAAGAAGAAAUAGAUGCCACCAAGUUACGGAAUGAGCGAUUGAAGGCCCACGUCACUCCUGAUGACCCUGGUAAGUCUCAGCGUCAGAACCUCCAAGAGCAGCUGGCUAAGGGGCACAAGCUGACAGAGCAUUAUGUCAGCAGGCUCAGCCCAGGUAAGGUGGGCACAGGCCCUGAUGACACACAGCCCCAGGCUUAUGAAAGUCCCCAGACCACCACACCUCCACAGUGACAAUUUUAUUUCUUUUCACUAAAAAUUUGUAGCCAUGACAUGACCAGGACAUCCUGGGCAGAAAGAGAUGGGAAACCUAUGGGGUUGGAGGUCACAGGAUGGUAAGUGUCUUCUCAUUUCUUGCUGGAACAUGGUCUUUAAGGCAAGAGGCAGCAUCUGUCCAGUUUUAAAGGACAGGAAGGAGGCUGUGACAGGAGGCAGCUUUUCAGAGUCAAAAGAGCCCUGGACUAAGAAUGAGGGUUCCAGGCUCUAUCUUCAGCAGUGUCUUUGGCAACUGUGGGUAACUGAUUAAAUUAUCCUUCCUGAGUUCCUGUCUCUAAAUCUGUAAAGGCAGACAAAUUGUCUCUUGCAUUCAAAUGUGGGAACACUUAAUGAUGAUAUUUCAUGAUGAGAUAAAGCCCCUUGCUGGGUGCUUUGGAGAAGGCACUUGAUGUGGGGGCAUUUGGUGGUAGGAAGCCAUCUCCAUGCACUCCACAUGGAAAGUGUGUUCCUGGAUAAGACAGCAGAAGCCUCUUGGAGGGCCCACGAAGUCCCCGAUGCAUGGAGUAUAGUGGGACAAGUUAGUUUGUCCUGUCAUAAGAGAAAGAUACAGGUGGCCGGGUGCGGUGGCUCAAGCCUGUAAUCCCAGCCCUUUGGGAGGCCGAGGCUGGUGGAUCACGAGGUCAAGAGAUCGAGACCAUCCUGAUCAACAUGGUGAAACCCUGUCUCUACUAAAAAUACAAAAAAUUAGCUGGGCAUGGUGGCGCGGGCCUAUAAUCCCAGCUACUCAGGAGGCUGAUGCAGGAACCCAGGAGGUGGAGGUUGAAUCCAGGAGGUGGAGGUUGCGAUGAGCUGAGAUCACCACAUUGCACCCCAGCCUGGGUAACAAGAGCUAGAGCAAAACUCCUUCUCGGGGAAAACAAGAAAAAAGAAAGAUAGAGGUUUCAAUGUAAGCUCUAACAAAAUACAGAGCCUGUGCCUGGGUAUCAAAAGUGAGGCAGGAUUGGGGAGACAGCUGCUGAAGCUUGGAGAGAGGCUGGGCAAGCCUGUAGUAAUAUAAAGAGCAAGAUGUCUUUUGACUAUUUGGCGGCAUCUUGAUGGUGACCCUCCAGAUUAGAAACAUGUUGCCUCAUGGAUCAGGAAAACCUGUCAGGUUAAAAAUAAAACAUGACAGUGUUCAGUACAAUGCAGACCCAUAGAUGCAUGUUCUUGUCUUGGUACACAUAGGGCUGACUGUGAUUUCAUUGGGUAAAGUGGGAAAUAUCUGAGUAGAUGCUUCUGUAAUUCCAGGAAAUGAUAAACAUCAUCAAGAUCAAACAGAUGAGGAGGGCGAGAAAGCAGAAAUCAGCAGCCCCAAGGUAACACUGAAUAAUCAGGAGCGGGUAAUGGGUGGUGAAAUCUGGAAAAGGUCUCAGAAAGAAUGUAAGUUAGGCAAAAGGUCAGGUGAACAGACUAAACUCAGGGAUUUCCGAUCUCACCUGUUGUCUGCCUCUUUGGCAUUUCCAUGUUUGCAAGUAUUUGCCAGCAGGAAAGUGAAUGAAAACAACUCAUAUCAUGCUCACAGUUUUGAGAACAAGCGAGGUUGAGGAUACAGGAACUCUUUCUGUGAAGAUGCAAGAAGCUGCAUUCAUUUGGCCUCUGAUGCUAAUUUCAACAAA